GCCUCGGUGGUUUAGUGGUAGAGCACGUGUCCCCGGUUAGGAUGAAACGCGGAUUCGAUUCCCGCCCGAGGCC
This is a non-coding RNA of Parelaphostrongylus tenuis, 73 nucleotides long. Lineage: Eukaryota; Metazoa; Nematoda; Chromadorea; Rhabditida; Metastrongylidae. The record is from the annotation of a GenBank genome assembly.